This 763-nucleotide ribosomal RNA is filed under the name uncultured Streptococcus sp. RNAcentral describes it as "bacterial SSU rRNA". It matches the Rfam family "Bacterial small subunit ribosomal RNA", at positions 28 to 776 of the family's 1533-position model. Lineage: Bacteria; Bacillati; Bacillota; Bacilli; Lactobacillales; Streptococcaceae. The record is from RNAcentral.
GACGAACGCUGGCGGCGUGCCUAAUACAUGCAAGUAGAACGCUGAAGGAGGAGCUUGCUUCUCUGGAUGAGUUGCGAACGGGUGAGUAACGCGUAGGUAACCUGCCUGGUAGCGGGGGAUAACUAUUGGAAACGAUAGCUAAUACCGCAUAAUAGUAGAUGUUGCAUGACAUUUGCUUAAAAGGUGCAAUUGCAUCACUACCAGAUGGACCUGCGUUGUAUUAGCUAGUUGGUGAGGUAACGGCUCACCAAGGCGACGAUACAUAGCCGACCUGAGAGGGUGAUCGGCCACACUGGGACUGAGACACGGCCCAGACUCCUACGGGAGGCAGCAGUAGGGAAUCUUCGGCAAUGGACGGAAGUCUGACCGAGCAACGCCGCGUGAGUGAAGAAGGUUUUCGGAUCGUAAAGCUCUGUUGUAAGAGAAGAACGAGUGUGAGAGUGGAAAGUUCACACUGUGACGGUAUCUUACCAGAAAGGGACGGCUAACUACGUGCCAGCAGCCGCGGUAAUACGUAGGUCCCGAGCGUUGUCCGGAUUUAUUGGGCGUAAAGCGAGCGCAGGCGGUUAGAUAAGUCUGAAGUUAAAGGCUGUGGCUUAACCAUAGUACGCUUUGGAAACUGUUUAACUUGAGUGCAAGAGGGGAGAGUGGAAUUCCAUGUGUAGCGGUGAAAUGCGUAGAUAUAUGGAGGAACACCGGUGGCGAAAGCGGCUCUCUGGCUUGUAACUGACGCUGAGGCUCGAAAGCGUGGGGAGCAAACAGG